GAACGCACAUUGCGCCCUCUGGUAUUCCGGGGGGCAUGCCUGUUCGAGCGUCAUUACAACCCUCAAGCCUGGCUUGGUAUUGGGCGCCCGUCCCCCGGGACGCGCCUGGAAAGCAGCGGCGGUGCGGCCGGUGAUCGAGCGUAGUAACGACUCCCGCUUCGAGCCACCCGGGCGUUCCAGCCGGACAACAUCUCUUUUUCAACGGUUGACCUCGGAUCAGGUAGGGAUACCCGCUGAACUUAAG
This 244-nucleotide unclassified non-coding RNA is filed under the name uncultured fungus. RNAcentral describes it as "sequence contains 5.8S rRNA gene". The stretch from base 1 to 53 matches the Rfam family "5.8S ribosomal RNA", at positions 102 to 154 of the family's 154-position model. The record is from RNAcentral. Lineage: Eukaryota; Fungi.